This 440-nucleotide ribosomal RNA is filed under the name uncultured bacterium. Its description in RNAcentral is "partial 16S ribosomal RNA". It matches the Rfam family "Bacterial small subunit ribosomal RNA", at positions 338 to 795 of the family's 1533-position model. The record is from RNAcentral.
CCUAUGGGUGGCAGCAGUGGGGGAUAUUGCACAAUGGGGGAAACCCUGAUGCAGCGACGCCGCGUGAGUGAAGAAGUAUCUCGGUAUGUAAAGCUCUAUUUGCAGGGAAGAAAAUGACAGUACCUGACCAAGUAGCUACGUCUAACUAGGUGCCAGCAGCCGCGGUAAUGCGGAGGGGGCGAGCGUUAUCCGGAUUUACUGGGUGUAAAGGGAGCGUAGUCGGUUAGGUAAGUCAGGAGUGAAAGUGCGGGGCCCAACCCCGGGACUGCAUUGGAAACUGUGUAACUGGAGUACAGAAGAGGCAGGCGGAAUUCCUGGUGUAGCGGUGAAAUGCGUAGAUAUCACGAGGAACACCGACGGCGAAGGCAGCCUGCUGGACUGAAACUGACGUUGAGGCUCGAAAGUGUGGGGAGCAAACAGGAUUAGAUACCCUUGUAGUC